CAAGUGACGUCCCAUCCGAUCAUCCAGUCCAGAACAAGGUCCGCCCUCUUGCCCAAAUCAUUCAAGGUCGGGAGUCUCCUGCUGGAGAGGUUGAAUGACAUUUUGUCCCCAACGAAGGCCACUCCACAGGGGUUGAAUUGCGAGACCGACACGUGUCCAUCGACGGAGGAGAUUCUAAUGCGGAGCAUCUUGAGCCCCUUCGGAAUGGACGCUUGACAGCAACCGAGACCAGAGCAAGUGGUCUCCUUCGCCAAGUCGACGUACUCGCUGCAGUAGGAGAUGCAGCCGCUCCGGAAAAACCUAUCUCUGUCGGUCAUGAGCACGUAGGUGUCACAGCCGAGGACUGUGAGGUUGUUCCGGGUGGAUGACAAUCUGUACGGUGGAUAUGAAGAUAGAUCGAUGUACAGAUUAUCGCUUCUGUUUACUGACCAGCCAGUCUUGUUGUAGCAGUCGUGUAGUUCGGGGAUGCUGACGACCAUGGUCGAGUCGCCAAAUGAGAUCUUGCGUAUCGGAGUAUUCCCCAACCAUAGUUGACCACCGCUCCCAUCGGUGGUAGUGCAAUUGAGCAAAAACUCUUCGGACCGCGCACAAUGGCGUUCGAGCCCGAAGGGAUAAGGUAUGGGCACUCUCCCACACCUAUGUGCACAGUGUCCGGCCACGAUGGUAGCACCGCCUUGUCGCAACCACCAGGCCACAGCCACCAGUAGAAGCUGCUGCACUACCUUCAUUUCCGAAAAACUCUCUCUCUCUCUCUCUCUCUCUCUCUCUCUCUCUCUCUCUCUCUUUUGGGACCUUUGUGCCUCUGUCCUUGUUCACAGAGUGGGAUUUAAGUAUGAGCCAUUCACCCCAGCCCAUUAUAUACUCGCAUGGACAAAUAGGUGAAAGGGCCAAUUGUGUCAAUAUAACAAAUUGAAGGAUCUGAUUGCUAUAUGAAGAAAUGCAAGACAGAAUAAUAUACAUCAGAGAAAAAAAAAAAAGACACCAAGUUUUUUUUUUUUUUCAGCAUUUCGGGUAAAACUUUUCACCAUCUUGAGUAAAGCUUACUUUCUGGUUGCUUUGGACAACGCGAGCCGCAUUGGAAGUUCGAAACUUCCUAAUUGCUUGUUGACCUUGAAAAAUCUUAUUUUGUUUGUUGUGUAUAUUUGAUUGUGCCAUGACAUAGGAUUAUCUUAAUUGUUCUUUCAUUAUAUCAUGGUGAGCCGAUAGUAAUGGGCACGCUCAAAUUAGCAAUCGCUUAAAUAGAACAUCAUGUUAUGUGUUCAGAGGAACUCUUAUGAUAAAUACUUAGUGGGAUUUAGUUACAAGUGCUUGUUGCAAUUUCCUUCCACUGUGCCUAUUAAAUAUACUAUAACAGUAAUUCUAUUAUGAUGUACAAUAAUAUAUCUUAUUUACACAAGUAUCCUUGUUGUCUAGAUACAUAAUUGCAAGCUACGAAAAGCUAUAUUGGAGAAAACAUAGAGUAAUUGUAGCAUAUGCAACCGGUGUAAAUAAAAUUUUACAAGAAUGACUGCAUACACCAUUGAUUUAAAAGAUUGAUAGUAAUAAUCUUUAAAUCAAAGAUGCCGAGACUGCUUAUAUGAAACUUCUUUUAUGCCGGCAAUGUAUGAUCUAUUUUUCCAAAAAUAAGUAGUGAACUAUACUUGCUAGAUGAUGUAGUAUGUGAUUUCCAUGUAAUUAAAUGAAGGCAUGCUUCGUGUUGGGUCUCAUGCUUUCAGCAAUAAAUCGACUACAAAAAUGUAUGAUGCCGCAUUAUUUGGUGAUGUAGUUUGCCAUAAAUAAAUUGUUGACAUGGUUUUUAAUAAUUUAAAUUUUUCAAAAAAAUAGUAAGUUUAACAUGAUCUGAGAACAUAAGUCAAUUAUUUAAAUUCUGACGCUCUCUCAAUUUUCUCUUGCUUGUUAUUCCCAUUAUUCUCAUAUUUUGUCAAUUCUUCACUCAUUAAUUUUCUAGUUGGAAAAUAAGCACGUGUCUACUACUUGUAAAAUUGCUUGUAUAGAGUAAAUUUUGUAGUGUGGUGUUCUUAUUGGAGUUUUUUCUUUUUUAGAACACGUUGAGAGAAAAGACACGUACGACGUUGCCCUAAAUAAACAUAAGAAAUAUUGUUAAUCAGUCCUUAAAAGCAAGAGUGAAGCAUACCAUUUGGAUAAGGAUUUGAUUGAUAAAUACUAAUUACACCUGUUACAAUAAAAAUAUUAUCUAUGUACAUCUUUUGUUCGACUGCUUAAUAAGUGUUAUAAAAGUGCCCCUUUCUUAAAAUGUAAAAUUUUAUAUAAUUGUAUCGCAUGCUGGUGCAAUCUAAAUCUCUAAAUUAUUAGUAAUAUUAUGCCUAGUAAUUAACAUCGCUUAUAGGAGAAAACCCAUCUCAAGCAAUGAAUAGAAUAAUGAUUUUAUUUUAGUUUUGAUUGAAUCUUCUUAAAUUAAAUGGUAAUUGACUUGCCAUCAAAACCCCGAAAAUCUUGAACAUAGUUCAAUACAAGAUAUUGCUUCUUCUUCUUUUUUUUACUACAAAAAAUUUGGACUAUACAACUUAAACAAACGUUAAGAAUAUAUGUAAUUCGCCUGUUCACAUAUAUAUAGUAAAGCUCCAUAUAUCUAGGGAGGUUGGAGAGGUUAUUUUGAAUGUAAGACUUUGCAAUGAAAUAUAUAUGAUUCAAAUUAAAUGUUUAAUCAUUCAAUCGAUAAUUUUGAGAAUUUAAAAAAAAAUGAUUAGGCGAGGAAAAUUAUUAGAGUCCUCUUUCUUUUCGAAAGCCUUUUUUUUUUUUUUUUAAUUUUUGGGUUGAAAGCGCUCAUUGAGUCCUCUUUCCGGCAGUCGAUUUUAUAUUAUGUUUUGCCCAUCUCUAUCGAGGCCAAAAGUACAGUAAUGUGUUUCACGACAAAAGUGAAACAUAGGAAACGACCUUUUAUAUCAACCUUUGAGGAGAUCUCUUCCUUUCCAGUAGGCCUGACCCUGCGUCCAAACGUUAACAAGAUGAGUUCGGUGGAUCUCCAGCGUUGAUUUACGUGGGCUCCACACUCGACUAAAUCAUCUAACUGCUGAAAUUCAUUGGGAUUUUGUGCAUCCGGUUCAUGCACGCGUGGCCUGUGCUGCGCACUAAAACUUCCGGGCCCGACGCCUAGUGACCGCAUGAUCCUCGUGUGGGAAGACUUGAUUAGGGGUGUCAACGGUUCGGUUCGGUUCGGUUCGAUUCGGUUCGGUUUUUCGGUUUUCAACUUUUGGUUUUUGGUUUUCUCUUUGUAUCUCUCUUUCUGUAUAUCUCUCUUUGUAUCUCUCUCUCUGUCCUAGGAUCAAACCAUUCAAAGAAGGGAAGAGAAGACUCAAACCCAGAUGACGACUCGAGCUGAAGACGUCUCCCUCCCUCACCCCACACGAGCUCGAGGCAGAAUCAUGGUUGAACCAGACAGGCAGAAUUCACUACUCCACAAGCCCUAGACGAACAGACCCGAACCCAAUUCUGAACUGACGAUUCACCGCACGAAUCGCAUGAUAAACCUGAGGAACUCGUACCGAAACACCAAAUCAACACUAGCAUGCGGUUCGGCUAACAGGGACCGCGACCUACAGGGCACGACUCACCUGAAUUCAUUAGCAAUUUGGGAUUGCCCCCACGAAGUCGCGCACAAUCGAGGGCAGGUUCACGAGGUCGAUCAGGUUGGCCAGCUUCUUUGGGUUGUCGGCCAGGGCCUUCUCCAUCUUUGCAACAACAUUUUCCCCCUUCCUCUGCGACGGCGUUCCUUUAGAGCAGAGCCUGUUUCCGUCGAUGGUGGGGAGGAGGACGUCGAGGGGAGCAAGACAUGCUCAGGCACAUCCCUCAAUUGGUCGCCGUCGCCGUCCUUGCCGCCGUCACUGUCCCUGUUGCCGUCGCAGUCAUAGUCACCGUCGCACCGAGAGGAGACGAGAGAGAAUUAGAAAUAGGGUUUGCCCUUGCCGGUUUGGUUAAUGGUUUUAUUUUAUCGGUUCUUCGGUUCGGUUCGGUUCGGUUCGGUUAACCGAUAAAAACUGAACCGAUAAAAAAGAUUUCGGUUUUUAAUGAGAACUGAACCGGAAACCGAACCGAACCGAAAAAACCGAAUUUUUCGGUUCGGUUCGGUUCGGUUCGGUUCCUGACACCCCUAGACUUGGUGACAACGGUGGACGAAGCCUCGUGAGUCGUCUUGGAAUCUUUCUAAGAAUACGAUAAAGUGCGUGAGAAAAAGUAAAGAAAAGAGAUAUUUCGAGACUCCCAAGAAGAUAAUUAAGAUUAUCUCUACGUAGAAUUGUGUUUUCUUUAAUCGGGAACCAUCGUUUUUUAAAAAAAUUGUUACUUUUCACGUUACAAAUAGCAGAGAUAAUGAUGUUCUAGUAUUUAAAAAAAGCAGUCCCCUUAUAUGUAUAUUAACAUAUAUCGUGUAUUACUCAUAGAAUUACGAUUAUCUUUACAUAGAAUUAUGUUUUUUUUUUAAAAAAAUUUGAGAACCAUUGUAUUUUUAAAAAUUUGUAACUUUACACGUUACAAAUAGCAGGGAAAAUGAUGUUCUAGUAUUUGAAAAAAGCAAUCUCCUUAUAUGUAUAUUAACAUAUAUCGUGUACUCUUUAGAUAGACUCAACAUGUACCUGUAACCAUAUUUAGGGUUAUACAAAGAUGUAUUAAAAUCAUCAAAAAGAACAAUCUUACAAUAAUCUUAAGAAUUUUCUAAUAUGAUUAAGUGAGAUAGGCAUCCAAAAGUACAUUUGCAAUCUCAGGAUAAUUAUGUUUUUAAGCAAAACUACUUACAAAAUGUGUUUCUUUACUGGCAAAAUCAUUUCAUGCACCUAGACCAUCGGAUUAGAUUCAUCAUAGCCAUUGAUCAUGUAAACCAUACAAGUGAGUUCCGCAUGACCAAUGGUUGCAAUUGCAUUGGGUCGAUGGACGAGGCAAGGGAUCCUUCAUUUCUUGCAAUGUUUUAGUUGGAAAAUGGCCUCUAUUUAAAGUUAUGAGCCAAUGAAACUAGGAGUCAUGUCCUUUUGUAUGCAAUACUUCACUGUUUAGCGAUUAAUAUGGUUAAGUAUGCCUGUAAGAUGGAAUACUCUUCUUUUUCUAAAAUUUUCUUGUUAGUAUCAUAAAUUGGUUGUAUACAGAUAUAAUGCAACAAGUCAAUCACAAAAUCCAUGUCAUAUGAAUUCUAAUUAACUUUUGUUUGAGUUUUGAAAAAUUAAUGCCACCUUGUAAUGGAAAAGGAUUUGAUUUUUACAUAGUCAUUACACACAUAACAAUAAAAGUCAGUAUUAAAAUUAUUAAUAUAUGUACUUUUUCGUUACUAUCUAAUUAUAGUGCAUGAUGGCUCAAUCUAAAUUUUCCAAACUAUUAGUGGUACUAUGUAUAGUAAUCAAGAUCACCAAUAGGAGGAGGUCCUACUUAGGCAGUGAAUAGAAUAACAAUCGUAUUUUAAUUUUGAUCAAAAUCAUCUUAUUUUAAAAGGGUAAUUCAUAUGCUAUCACAACCCAAAAAAUAUUGACACUUAGGCCAAAAAAAAUUAAUAGCUUUUUCUUUUUUUUUACGGUUCAAAGUAUCCAAACUACUCAAAUUAAAAGAUGUUAUCAUGUGUUCACAUGCAUCUAGUAAAACUCUACCACAAUAAGUCUAGCGAGAUUGAUUCUAAAUGUGAGAGGUUGGGAUAGAAUUCAUUGCAUACAAAUUAAAUGCUUGAUAACUCAACUAAUAAUUCAAGAUUGCAAAACAAAAAAUUUGGCUGAAAGUUGUCAUCAUAUUUUUAUUUUAUCAUAGAGUCCUUUCGAGUCAUUUUUCUACAUUAUACGCAAAGUCCAUUGUGCCCCCUCUCUCUUGACCAAACUAAAGUAACAUGUGUUCCACACAAAAAUUAAAUAUAGAAAAGUACCUUAGAUUUUUCAUUUCUUUGGGGGGACCUUUACCUAUUUAUAUUGGCUUUGGACCUAGCUGACCUGGCCUUGAACUUAAAAAAACAAAAAAUAAUGACAAUCUCCGUAUGAAAAUGAGCCUAGUCGAUCGUGGACGUUGAUUUAUGUGAUUCUCAUAGGACUUACCUCAUUUAAGAACUGAAAUUCAUUGAGAUCUUGUGACCUAGUUCAUGCAAGUGCCAUUGGUUCGAUCAAGCCGCUGAGUAUUGGAAACAAGCUGUAGCGCUUACUCCUGGUAAUUAUAUUGAAGCGCAGAAUUGGAUCUGCACUAAAAUCACUGGGCCCAAUGCCCGGUGGCCCCAAGGUGAUAGCGACACACGAGAAUCUCUCUCAGUACAGGGAAAAUCACAAGUGGUCUCGAAGUCUUUCGAAGAACAAGACAAAUGCCAAAGAAGGUGCUUCCAGUAAAGAUGUGGUGGGGUUCGGCCUGAUCCGUGCGGAGGAUGAUCUUUUGAUGACGACAUGUCUGCUACGCGAGAUGGUCAUCACUCGACCGUUCUCUAUCGCCAAGGACGACCGGGAGAGGAGUGGAGUACAGGGGCUGCACAGUGUGUGUUUGUCGGUCUUCUUAAAUUAUAACAACAUCCAAAAGAAGAUAAUGAUGUUUUUUGCAUUUCCACAUAUUCAUAUUCCUAUUUUUGUAUUUUUAUUUCAAUGAGAUCCUGUCACAUGACAUUGCCAUUUAAUUUAAGGGUAAAAGUCACAAAAAUACCCUAAAUUAUGCCUAUGGUGACAUAUUUACUCCAAAUUUUUUUAUUGAUAUUAAAAGUUUUAAACUUAUAUUUACGUGACACAUUUAACUCAAAAUUUUGCGAUGUGACACAUUUACUUGAACUUUUAUUUUGUGACAUAAGAAACCUUAAAACUUUUUUUUGGUGACACCAAAAAUUUCAAAUUUUUUUCUAUGACAUUAAAUUUUUUAGAUAAAUGUGUCACAUGAAUAUAAGUUUUUUUUUUUUUUUUUGGUAAUCCAGGGAACCCCGUCAGCCAUUCGUCACCUUACGGAUAUAAGUUUGGUGUCACACAAGUAUAAGUUUGGGUUUUUUGAUGUCAUAGGAAAAAAAAUUUAGGGUAAAUAUGUCACACAGAUAUAAGUUUGGAGUUUUUAAUGUCACAAUUUUUUUUUUGGGUAAAUAUGUCACAGUUGAUAAAGUUUAGGGGUUUUUUUUUUUUUUUUUGCUUUUUUGCUUAAUUUAAUUAUAUACUACUUUUUGAAUUCAUAUAAUAUAGAUGUAUGCCUAUCAAUCAUUAUCUCUUUGGAGAAUUACUUUUUUUUCAUUCAAGGAACUACUAGUUUCUAAAAGAAGUCACUCUUUAUAUCUUGAAUUACAGAGAUAAUGACAUUCUAGUGAUGAAAAAGUCUCCAUACGUUUGUGUAUAUCCCCUUAUAUCUUUCAAUAGAUCCAUCCACCUUAUGUUUAAUGGAGAAAACCCAUUUGCAGCUAAUCAUUUUUUUCCAUCCAACAAUAGAACAAGAUUUCAUUUUUUUUUUCUUUAGGGCCUCCAUUUCUUCUUUUAUCAAUUGAAUCCACUUCGGAUCUGCUAAGGCUUCUUGUAGUCCCAUCGUAUUCAAAUGCCUCAAGAGGUUUUGAUAAUCUCCAAGCUUAUACAUGAUUUGCAAUAGGAUAUUUUGAUCUCCUUUCCUCAAAUUCUAUUGAGUAUUGACUUGGGGGCUUUUCACGAUUAUUCCUAAAAGAUAAGUAGUAACUAAUAGAGGUAUCCGAGUCAUCACGAGAAGAAGGUGUAGUAGGAGAGCUUACCUCGGCAAUAUUCUCAAAAGACAAAUCAUUGGGUACCAAAGAGUGAAGGGUCAGCAAUCUGUGUAGUACCAUCAUUUUCAAUUCUUACUAUUUGCCCAGGUUCCUACUCAAUUUUUUGCUCAAUAUCAAUUCCAUCCUCCUCACUAACCAUUGCUUCACUUUUUCACUCACUAGGUUGCUAGGUUGUCUAGUUUUAGUUUGUACUAGAGUGUCUUCGAAUACAACACAAUCCCACCAAUUCUUCCUUUCAACUAGUGUCUCCCCCUUGAAAGGAAGAAUCGGAUGCUCAUAACGAUAAAAAAAAAAAAUCUUUUAGAUUCCUUGAAGGUUACGUCCAUGGUGACAUAGGUAUGCCUAGUAGCAGGAUUGUAACAUCAAUAUCUUUUUUUUUGUGUGUGAUACCCCAACAAAACACAACAAACUGCACAAGGGUCAAGCUUAGUACGUUGAUUUUAAGGAAGAUGAACAAAAGCAACACAUUUGAAAACUUGAGGAGGAAUCAGCAAAAUAGAUGGUAGGGUAACACGAUUGGAAAGGACUUAUAAUGGAGUUGUGAAAUUCGACACCUUUGAAGGCAAACGGUUUGAUAAACAUAUGGUUAUGAUCCCAGCAUUGUCCCAGUAUCUAUUUAGCACAUGUGAACCAAUCAAUAAUGCACGAGUAGUUUCUAAGAUAUGUCUAUUUUUUCAUUUGACAACUCCAUUCCGUUGUGGUGUUUGAGUACCGGAGGUUUCAUGAAGAAUACCAUGAUUCAUGAAAUAAUUUUAAAAUUCCUUAUCAACAUACGCUUCACCAUUAUCAGAAUGAAGAAUUUGAGUUUUAGCUAAAAAUUGAGUCUAAAUCAUAGCAUGAAAAGUUCAAAGCAUACCAAAUACAUCAUCUUUGUGCUUCAGCAAUUAUAACCAAGUCAUUCGAGUACAAUCGUUAACAAAUAUCACAAACCAACAAAUUUUGGAAAUAGCGGUAAUUAGAGUGGGUCCCCAAACAUCAAAAUGAAUUAACGUAAAGGGAAUAUCACUUUGUUGCAGGCUUAUUGGGAAAGGUACACUAUGACUUUUAGCCAAAAUGCAACUUUCACAUUUAAAAGCUAAAUCACAUAAGUUGGAAAAUAGAUAAGGACAUAGGUACUUCAUAUAAGUGAUGACGGAUGCCCCAAACGACGAUGCCAUAGCCAAAUUUGUCCCUCCUUGAUACUAGUUGAGUGUUGCAUGUUAUUUGUUGGACUUUGACUAAAAUCAUCCAUGUAGUAUAACCGCCUCUCUUAGUACCACACCCAUUGAUUUCCAUUGUGAAAAUAUCUUAAAAAGACAAAAAGUAGGAUAGAUUAUAGCAACGCAAUUUAGCUCUUCAGUGGCUUGGCCUACAGACAUCAAUUUAUUUGAGAGAGAUGGAACCAACAAAGUAUUGGAUGAAGAGAAAGAGGGUGAGAGAGUAACUGUCCCAGCUCUUGUAACAAGGUGUAUGACCCCAUUAGCAUUGGCAACAUUACUUCAUCUUGGUUGGUAAUCUUGACAAAUUCAUAUCAACAAAAUGUCACGUGGUCAAUUGCGCCCGAGUCAAUAAUCCAUCCACUAUAAUUAUCUUGAUUAUAGCUAAGCAAUGCAUCACCACAAUUACCUUGAUUAUUGAGAGUAGUAGAAUUACUUGAUGAUUCCACUUGUGGAAUUAAAGAUAAGUGAGGUUCUGCAUUUACCAAAGGAACUUGUCCCAACCCACUAUUAGCAUCUUUUUGUGCCUUGAGUUUUCUUCCACGAUUCUUGGUACCCAUGUAACUAAAAGCAAGUUUCACGAGUAUGCUUCAUGUUUCCAUAGUGUGUAAAGCCUCCUUCUAAUUGUGCCUUGGCCUUUGAUGUUGUAUUCAUCUUUCCACCUCCCAGAGAGGAAGAAUCAGCUUUAAAAAUCUGGAGCAUCAGUGGUCACUGAGGUUCCAUCUUGACUCCUUUGGAGGCCAUUGAAUUGGCAUGUGUAAAUUUUAUGCUUGGUAUCAUAACUACUUAUCUUACAUCCUCCCUUCAGACAUGAGCAUAGACUUGUUCAACCAUAGGGAAUGGUCGGAUUUGAAGCACAUUGGCUCGUAUGUUUUCUAGAUGAUAAUCCAUUCCAUCAAAAAAAAAAUAUAAACUCUAUGACAUGCACUCAUAACCAUAUUUAUAGCCAUAUAAAGAUGUAUUAAAAUCAUUAGGAGGAAAUAAUCUUGCAAAAAUUUUGAGAUUUUUCCAAUAACACAUGAAAGUAUUUGUUUAAAUAAGAUUAGCAUCCAAGAGUACAUUUGCAAUUGUGAUUCCAAACAAAUAUAAAACGUAGUCGACUUGGAAUUGAGCGUUGGAUAUGUUGAUUUUGACUAUCAAUUAAUCAAGGGAAAAUGUAAAAAGCAGUUGGCUAGUUGGCUUGUUGUAAGAGUUAUAACUGCAGCACAUAUAAUAAUACUAAUUUUCAGCAUCAAGUAUGCUUGAAUUACAUUUUUUUUUUUAUGUGCCAACAGAUGCUUAGAGAUUGUUAUAUGGUGUGAUAAUAUGGUGUAACUAUUGUUGAUAUUUAAGUUUAGCAACCCAUUAGAAAAUUAGGAAUUGACUCAGCUCUAUCAAAAAAAAAUUUCAUUAGAUUACACAGCAUGUAGGCAUUAGGAUAAUUUAUAUCAAUAUUGCUAAAUUUUACUAAUUUAUUAAUAAAAAAAUAAUAACAAAAUAACAAAAUAAUAAUUAACAAAAUUAAUUAAUUUAAAAAAGCGCCGGGCCGGGCCCGAGCUUGGUUGGCUCGGCCUACUCCCCCUCUCGUCUCCUUCCUUCCUGCCUAGGCUAAGCCCAUUCUCCUUAUUUCUUCUCCGGCCCGGCCCCUCCUUCCUCCCCUCCUGCUAUUCACGCGCGCGACAGAGGCAGCACAUUCAAAGGACCGGGGACGGCGAAAGCGACCACCGGUUAAAAGUGAAGAACGGAUGGAAAAGUGACGGGUCAAGCUGUAAAUUAGGGAAGGAGCUCAACGCCACAGAUUUGUCAAGAGCAGAGGACAGACCGGCGGCAGAGUAGAGAGCAAGGGGAGGACCACCGGUGUAGGCCAAGGACUGUCCGAUGCGUGAGAGACCGGGGGGAGAAGGGCUUCUACCUUGGAACGUUCAACAAGCCGAACUAGGGAGGAGUACUAUAAAAGAGGAAGAUGGAGAGACAGAGAGAGAACUGGAUGCACGGGCAAGAGAAAAACGAGGAGGGCGAGAGAAGAAGAAAAAAGGGUUGUUCCUGGCUAAGCAUCGUCCAGCUGCCCUCGACGCGAACCAACGCCCUCUAGUCGACACCAUCGAGCUCCCGGCAUUCCCCUUCCUCAUGGCGUUUGGUUUCUAGCAAGUGGAUUUGUCAGUUCGAUCGGCCAUCUUCCCGAGGAUCCCAGCUUGGCAACACAGGGACAGCCGGCUAUAGCUCGAUUCGUGUCGAGGCCGUCGUAGCCAAGCCAAGUAGGGACUCCGCAGUUAAACACUCGUUCCCUCGAACCCUUUUUGCUGCACCCUAUUUUGGUUGAAGGAGAGGCUGCGACCCGGCUUCUUUGGUUUAUUCGUGUUUUACUUCUAAGCUGUUGGCGUCGAGCAUUUCCUGGUGAUUUUCUUUGAGCUUAGAUCUAAGAAGGGUCAAUGUCUUCUUCUCGCUCUGUGCCCACUACGUGUUCGAGGGAACGCCCAAACCAAAAGCGGUCGUUUUAUUAGUCUCGGAUUAGGAAUUGUUCCAAGGAUCCGUAGAUGCUUUUUGCGCUGCACAACAUUUUUACCAAUGGCCGAAUACAUUUCUUUAGCCAGAUUUCAUCUCUAUAAAGUCUUAACAGCCCCGGAUUUUCUACCUCAUUUUUGCCUCGUGCUCAGACAUUUCCUUAGCCAGAUUCGGAAGUCGUUUCCCGAUUUGGUUUAAGGGGUCUCGGUCAUGACCACUCGAUGGCAGAAUCUGUAUGGUGCGAUCUACUGAUGUGUUAGUCUAAUGAUGAGCCUUGAUCGUUGAAGUCCUUGAGCGGUGGUCAUCUUGCAUUUUGGUGUGUUCUGUCUGGGUUUGUCUUGGGGUAGUGGAAUAGGGAGUAGACGUUCAAGGGCUUAGAUAAAUAGAGAAGAAAACGAAAAAGAGGAAGUGGGCUUGAGCUUAGUGUUGGUAAAUCUGGGUUGGGCUUAGGUUAAUUGAAUUUGGACUCAGUUCAGGUCGCGAACAGAUUGGGCUUGAAUACUUGAGCCCACUUCUUUUAGUCCAGUUGGUAUCACUAGCGCAGGCCGGAGGGGCCCCGAUAGAUCCACAUUCGGACUGGGCCUAGUCCGAGUCCCUAUUUUCAGGAUUAAAAAUUAAUUUAGAAAAAAAUUUAAAAAUUCCAAAAAAAUAUUAUUCUUUUUCAAGUUAGGAAAAAAGCUUAAAAGUUAGUUUUUGAACAGUUUUCUCUUAAAAUUUAUGAAAAUGCUAAAAGAAAAAGAAAAUGUUAGUUUCAAAAUUGAACAAGCUCUCAAAGCUUUAUAAUAGGGAUUGAAUAUUCAUGGAAACAAAUGUUGGCUUGUUGAUUGCACAUUUCCAUCGCUGCGUGCUUUUGAUGCAUGGAUUGUUGUUCCCUUAGCCUAGUUAGGAAUUGAAUCUCAGAACUCAUGAUUGCUAUAAAAUGUAGGACACUAGUUGAUUAAUUAAUGUAGUCCUCGACCUUAGAUUCUUUUGUACUAGCAGGAAAGUAAUUCUCCAAUUGCUUUAUGUGGGUAUUUAAUCAACGCAUGACAAACUAAUUAAUGGCGACUCUUAGAUAAAAAUAAUUUUGCAUGUUAGUUGCGAAUUGCUACAAGCUUGGAGAGCCCGAAUUAAGUCUAGAUUUAAUAAUUUAUUAGCCAAAUUUAAGGUGGCUCACCCAAGAUUACGUUGCAAUAACUAUGGGAUCAGAACUUUUGCACAAUAUACAAUUAAAUUUAUAAUGUGUUUUUGGACUAGGCCCUUAAGGUUUUUAAAAAUAAAAUAAAAUUGGCCCAUCUAUUUAAAAUAUUGACGAAAGCAUUGUAACAUGUCAUUAAGUUGUAGUUAAUUUCCAUUCUAGCCCCACAAGUGCUAUCUGAUGUGGCUGUCAAUCACCUUAAAUAAUAUGAAAAACAAAUCUAUUUUUUUGAAAAAUUCAAAGAUGCAUUACUCAAAGGUAAAUUACAAGAAAAACUAUUAGAAAAACGCAUCCAACUAAAACACACUCGGGAUGUCUUUGUGUUCGAUUAGAAUUUUAGCCUGAGCACAUGACCAACAAAAUCUGGUGAUUACUUUAAUAUUUCUCCCAUAAUUCCAUUUUUUUUUUAAAUAUUUUCAAUCUCUUGUUGAGAGAUGCUUUUUUGAAAUACUCCGUAGAAAACAAAUGCCAAGUUCUAAUUGCCCUUAAAAACCAAUUAAAAGUACAUAUUUUAUUUUUCAGUCAAUUUUGUUCAUGACUAUUCGGUAGAAUAUAAUUGCGACUGGUUCUUUACGCUGUCAUUCUAAGAUAUUACUUAAAAUCACGGUCAAUUGCUAAAAAAUAAAUUUUCUAUGCCUUUUUUUUUUGCUUGAAAAAUUGUCUAAGCCUUUAAUUUGUAAAAUUUAGGCAGAAAUUAAAAAAAAAAAUUCCACUGACGAUAAAAGAAAUUAGGUAUUCCUUGCUAGUCUUUUUUUUGGUAAUCCGAGGAACCCCGUCAGCCGUUCGUCGCCUUACAGCGGUACAUAGCUGCCAGGUAAACCUUGGAGUGAUGCUAGUAAAUGACCCACCACCCCGACAUCACGCUUAAGACGCCGAUGCUUCCACUGGGUUUCGACCCUUACACCUUUCCCCCAAGGUUCAAGGUCUUAUCCAGCGGAGCCACCAAGGCCGGUGGUACCUUGCUAGUUAGUGUCUUUCAUCAUGGUUUUUAAGUAUCAAACUUAUAACACAAUACGAGUUCUUUCAUCUUGAAUUGUGUCAUGCUGUUAAUGUUGUCAAAGUCAUUUCUUUAUCUUUCUAAAAAAAAAUAAAAAAUAAAACAUCCGCUCUACAAUAAAAUUAUUAUCCGGAAGGAUGAUGAUGUCAAGGCAUUGGUUGUCGUUUGCUUCUUUUUGCGGUAAUAGAAGAUAGACAGGAACACCAAAGCUAAACAUAAUAAACUGACAGCUACCGCAAAUAUCACUAUGGCCUUGGUUGAAGAAUACUUAUUAGAGCUUGGUGAUUUGCAAAGAGGAAGCUUCAAACCCGGAAUACCUCCACAAAGUUGUCUAUUUCCAAAAACCGAUACGGCACUUGCAUUAAGAAAAACUCCGCCCUCUGGAACUUGUCCUUCUAGCCCAUUGAAGGACAUAUUCAACAUCAAAUUUAACAUCUAACCUCAAAUUACAUUAUAUGAACGAUAAAUUAAGGGAAAGUAAAGUAAAUUGAGAUAUUUAAUUUUUUUCCAUCAUGUCAAAUUAAGAUCAAAUUAUGAAAAAGAUAAAAAUGAGUGAAGGUGAAUAUGUUUCUAGCCUAUUUUUGUCUUUUUAGCCAACGGUUAUUAUCUUUUUUUCUGGAAAUGAACAUUAUAUUAAGAUUAAUUGUAAUAUAAUUAGGGAAAAGCAAAGACUGAAAGUGAAUGGAGAUUUUACUUGAGUGAAUUGGGAUAAGAUUACGAAAGAAAAAAGAUAUAAAGGAGUGAGUAGAUUUUGUCUUGACUUGUUAUUAUUAUAUGAAGGGAAAAAUGAAAGGCAAGAAAAGAUAAAGGGAAAGAGAGAUUAUUUUAAUGUCUAAAUGGCCAUAAGAUGAGUCUACUUCAAUGCACAGCUUCUUUACAUAUAGUUUAUUAGAUUCUCACACUUAAACUAGCCCAAAUGCUUGCACAAACAUAAGUCCAUAGCAAAUGACAACAUAACACAUAUUCAAAGUACACAAUCAACCCUAAAAGUCCUUAUGGGCAAUUACUACAUAGUUACUUUAGGAAAUGCAGGAAGAUACUGAAUCCAGCCAGGAAAGACAGCUUGACGUCGCAUCUUGGCUCACACCUUGAGUCACUGGAGUCUCAACGGAGGGACUGAUUGUUACGGCCACUUCAAUGUUUUCUUCAAACGUGGAGCUCUGGUUAAUUUGGCUGAGUUUAUGAGCUACUUCACUCAUUGUUGGCCUCUUCCUCCUGCUUUGGUCUAAGCAUUCCACUGCAAUCUCAGCAACUGUUUUUACUUGCUUGAUUUCACCUCCUCCGGGAUCCUCAAAACUUAUGAUUUUGGAGAGGGUCCCGCCCUUCACGGAAGAGAUGAAAUGAGGGAUAAUAUUUAUUUCCUCUUUGAACUCAUUAGUAACAGAACUUGUAGGCUUCUCUUCAGUGAGCAACUCCACAAGGACAACUCCAAAGCUGUAUACAUCACUCUCAAUUGUUAGCUUACCGGUGGUUAGAUAUUCUGGAUCGAAGUAGCACAAGGUGCCUUCCAUUUUGGUGGCUACGAGAUGACUAUGCUGCGGUGAUAUAAGUACUGAAGUUCCAAAAUCAGAUAUUUUCACCGAGCAAUUUCGAUCCAAAAGUAUAUUCGUCGACUUGAUGUUGCCAUGAAUGAUUUCGGUAGAAUGCAUUUCCUCGAGUGCAAGAGCAGCUUCAGUGGCUAUUUUGAGCCGAGUUUUCCACAAUACUUCUGGAUGGAUGUGUUUGAAGAGAGUAGUAGCGUUUGGAAUAUAUUCAUAAACCAGCAAUGGUAUUCUAGUCUCCAAACAUAUGCCAUGGAGCUUCACCACAUGUUUGAGGUCUUUUAGUAUCACAGAUUUAAGUUCAUCUUGGAAGUCCUUGUUCAUUAGAGGCUUGUGCACAUCUUUAGGCUUCUUGACCACAACCUCAAUGUCCGCCCCCACUGCUAUUCUCCCUCUAUAGAUGGAACCGAAACCGCCGUUGCCUAACUUUUUGCUUUCAUCAUAGUUGUUGGUUGCUUUUGCUAGCUCUGCCUCCGUAAAGAUUCGAACUCCUGGAUGUUUAAAAAGCUUUCCUUUAUUUUUUCUGAAGUUUAUCUUUCUGAUUCUCCACUUCCAUGUGACCGAGGCUGAAGCAUUGACAUAUAUGCAGACGACGGGUGAAAGAAUCACUGCAAAAGAAUAUAUGUUACUAGAUUAUUCAUUUAAGCAUGUAAUCCUCAUACGCUCCACAUACUUCAUUAAAAAAAGAUUAAUUUCAAAUGCACAACACAUUUAAUAUUUUUUUGAUAUAUGUAUUUAUAUAUUUAUAAUCAUCACCAUUGAUUAUGGUGGUCAAUCAAUAUUGCAAUGUAUAACUAUGCAAUUUAACGGUGAUAGAAAUUGUUUUGGUGACAAAUAGGUUACACAUAUUACAUACUGUGUAAUAAUCUUUAUAAAAGUCCUUAUUUGAAAUUUGACAUGUGUCAUUAUAAAGUGAACAAGUAAUCAGAUGAACUCAAUUUAAUACAUAGUACUAGCAUCUUCUAUAACGUCUUUCCUUGAUUAUGAUGAAGAACGUUUGUAAUAAAAGAGAAUGAGAAGGCAUUCACCUCACAUUUUUUUAGAUCUUUCCAUCUACAAAUGGUAUCAAAACUUGGGGGAAAUUGUUUAACCAAUUAUGUACCUUAUAGUUAUCAUGCUUUAAAAUAAUUUUUUCCGUCCAUUCCACUGGUGGAAACUCUAAUAGAUGGGUCAAAAACAUAUAUAUCUUGCCCAAAUUUAUAUUUAGUUGAGUUAACAUGUGGAUAAUUUCUAUAAUAUGUAACUCACCAAUCAAAGCAUGCUUGAAAGACAUUUCCUCUAAUUAGAGACGAAAGAAAAUGUACCCAUUUAUAAAUUAAAGAUUGACUAUUAGUCUAAAACUAGUUUUUAACUAGGGACGGGCACGCGGAGGGGUUAGGACGAGGAUCACGUUCCUCAUCCCCACCCCUUAAAAUGAAAUGCCGCCAUCCCAUGCGAGGCACUGCCACAGAAUUUUGUUUCCUUCUAAAAAAGGUCUAAACCGCUUUCUAGAUGACAAUUUGACAUUUUUCUUAUUUUCAUAAAAAAAAAAAAGGAAUGGCCUCAUGGGUGAAUUUUGCAAUAAAGGAGUGGCCUCGGGAUUGCUUUUAUAUGGUCAAACAAAUUCCAAUCUUAACAAAUUAGCCAGUGUGAGACAAUGUGAAGAUGAAAUAUUUAAAAUAUAAUUGUGCCACAUUACUUACCUUGAGAACUUACCAAGCUUGCAUCUUCUAUAAAAGCAAGAUUGAUAAGGAGAAGAUAUUUUUUUAGGGUUUUAUUAUUAUUUCAUAUUUUUAAAACAAAUUAUUGUCAUAAAAUUAAAGAAAUAAAUAUAUAUACACGUACAUAUAAAUAUUUAUAUUUUUCUUCAAUGUGUACAUGGGGCGGAUUCGCCAAGUUUUUCACACGCGUACCUAUUAAUUUCAAUAGCUUGAAAUACGUAAAAUAAAUGAGAAUCUUUUUAUAUCCCGAAAGAAACUAAUGCAAUUCACUGCUUUUUGGGCCAAUAUUUUGUUGUCUCGUUUGGGCCUUUGUGUCCAUUUAGUGCUCAAGAGCGGCUAUCACUUCCGCAACUCCCAAGGGGAGUCUAGAAAGUUUCGAAAUAAAUCAUCGAUCAGACUCAAGUUUUACCAAGUUCUUCCUGUGCUACUUUUUUGGCCAAUAUUUUCACAGUUCAGAUUUUAAGGAAGCUCAACCGCAUUGCCUUCUUCAACAAUUGCCUUCAUAUGUCAUUGGUUAAUUCUGCUCCAUUUUUCUUUUUUCUUUUUCGAGUCCAAAUUUGUGCUCACUUUCGAUUUAAAUUUUAGGAUUUUUCCCUUGUUAAAUCUGCAAGCCUAGCUGUUCUUUUUGGCUCGAGAUUUGCAGGUUCGGGUAGAGGAGGAAUUUUCAUUAAAUCUGCUGCGCAUCCUCCCAUGCACGUAGUUUCAAAGUGUUAGCUUCGGAAAAAAUGGAAAACAAAAAAGGGCGAGGAGCGAAGUUAAAAAGAAAAAAAUAAAAUAAAGAUAAGAUGUAAAUAGCUUUAGGCUAGAACUAAAUAGGCACAUCUGGCAGCCUGUGGCUCACUGCUUGUGUUAUUGGGGAUUACACCCCGUAAUAUAAUAAUAUUUAAAAUGUACACGUCAAACCUAUUAUAAAAUCAAGAAUGGAUCGAUAGAUAUGAACUAUUAGGUGAAUGAUAAGGAGAUAUAUAUGAACUUACCUGCAAUUACUAUCUCGGGAAGAUGACCACCGCCGUCACAUGUGUAGCUCCCAGGUAGAUUAUGGCACUUUCCAGGACAUGUGUUUUUCUCUCGGUCCUCACACUCAUCGAUGUCUACAUUAUACAUAAGACAAAUUGAACCUCUUUCUCGGUUAAUGGCAAAAACAGAUAGAACAAGUUGGUGCAUGGAUUAUUAGAAAAGCAAUGCUAUCCCAUUCAAGUUUUGGUCAUAGUAUUGUGACACAUAUCCAUUCUCUUUUAAGAUAUCUCCUUUCCCUACCCUUUGUCUCUCUCCCCGUGGAAUUCGAGGUCAACAAUGGCGUCAUUCUUUGCCAUGGAUGGAGAUCAUCGCUGCCUCGAUCUCUAUUUAAGUGACCGCAUUGAGGGCACAACAGCUCCGAAAGGAUCUACAUACAAAACUAGCAGAAAUCGAGCUUUUGCAGUGAUGCAUGAACCCCACGUUGCAAGAGCGAGGCGAGGGGUUGCUGUUUCCAUAUCAUUUACCUAGGAAUGAGAAGAUUGAUCUUUACAAGCAUGAGUGAGGUGGGUGUGCUGAUCUGUAUACCUAUUACUAAAUAUGAUGGGCUCAUCGGAUCUUUUUAUUUACAUACAUUUUAGUACAUGUACCAGGUUUAGUGAGAAUAUAAUUAAGAGGGCGGCAGCACAGAGUUUAAAGAAGAAGAGAAGAUUGUUGUCGAAACGUGGGGAUAAAGUCGCUAGAAAUACAUGUUGACGUCCGUAGGGUGGUGGCAACGGCCUUGACUUAUUCUAUUAGGCAAAAAGUCAAAAACUUAGGAGAAACACAUGUCCAAGUUCGAAUUUAUUCGAUCGGGCUUAUCACAAUUAUUGAUAGUGUGAAUCUCAAAUUCCACAUGUUCAAUACUAGUUAUAGAUUUAGGUCCUAGAAAGAUUACCUAAACUUAUCUAGACCUCCCAUUAAAGUUAUAUUUGGUGGUACACAUCAAAACACACUCUCCCUUCCCUCUAUCACUUUCCACGGAACUCACCAUCCACUCUACCACCACCAAGGCCCAGCAAUGCAACUAACAUUAUCGAGCCAGGGCUCGUUGUCUCCUUGUUGAGAUUAAUAUUCAGGUGAGUUAAGGCCACUUCCUCAAGAAGAUAUUAGGUAUGCAAGUGAUACCAUGUCAGAUUUGCAAUGGUGACACAUGCCAACCUUGAGACUCACCAUUAGAAAUUUUGAAAUGGGAUUUGCUAAUAUAUUUAACUUUGGACUAAUGUAAGAACAACAUAUUGUGAAUCGCAAAUUCUUUAAAAAGUUGUUCUUAUAAUAAUUUCUAAUUAUUUAUUAUAUUUUUUAUAAACUAAAAUAUACUGUUAUUCUCAUAGUUGGUUACAGACGGUUCAUAAACAUUUCUUAUUUGAAAUUAUAUUUCUCUCCCUUUGUCUCUCUCUUCUCUUUUGCACUUGUCAUUUCUCUUCUUCUUCUUAGUUUCUUCUCUUCUUUUUUUCCCUUUUCUUUCCCUUUGCCCUGUGGCUGGUAGCUGGCCAUCCGGCCAUAAGGAAGGGUCGCUUUCGCCAGAGUCAACAAGGGUUGGACCCUCGCAGCUAGGGCAAGGGUCGCCCUCACCUUGACAGCCUUGCCAUAUCUAGAAGCUGUGAAGAGAGGCAACGACAUCGGAGCUUCAGGAGACCUCGAGGAUGCAGGGAUUGACGGAAGGCCUGGGCUUGUGGACAAAGGGGGGCUUGGGCUUGUUCUUAGACCCAGGGGACAGUGGAUGACCAGUGGAGGGGGGCAACGUCAUCCAAGCUGCAAGCGACCUUUAGGAUGUCAGGGCUGAGGGAGAGCCUAGGGUCACAGGUGAUGACGACCGGGGGACAUGGUCUAGUUUUUGGACCUAAGGGUGGCUGCGGGGGGCAGCGGACGACCUAAUUGGUGGAGCCGUCGCUGGAAGGGGAUCGGUGGACGAGGCGAUGGUGGAGGCAACGGACAAGGGAGAGGCGGCGGCGAGAGAGAGCAGAUCGUGAGUCGAGAGGGGGAGUGAGAGAGCAAAGCGUCGUUGGGGAAGGAGAGAGCAGAGAGCGUUCUGUGACACGGGAGAGAGACAAUUUCAAAAUUUCUGACAGUGGACCCAAAGGAUGACACGUGUCAUUCAUUUAAUGGACUAUAGUAAAUCUGAGCUGGUAUUCUAACAUUUUCUCCCACUUCCUCACCACCAGCACGCCCGCAUCAUUGCCACGUCGCUCUUUAUGAAAUGUUGCAGCAGUUUUGUCUUUUUCAUAGGAGACUUAUAGAUAUGGUCUCCUCCGUUAAUGGAAUAGACUAGCAAGCAUAUCUCAUCUCCUUCGUUGCGAGGAGACAUUCGGGGGGAUUUGUCAAUGCUGAGAUGAGGUACAAGACAGACUCGGGGAGAGAGAGAAAGUCGUCAUAGUCGUUGCUUGGAGUGGUGGAGGCACUUUGUUGUCAUCUCCGAAGUGGAGUAGCUGUUGCCAUGGAGGAGCGGGAGUGUGUUUUGGUAUGGUAGAGAGAGAGACGGCUGUGGGGUCCGACGCGCAUGAAGGCCGACGCUAGGCUCACCUAAGGUGGUGGGCGAAUGAUGUGGCGGUGGCAAUGUCGUGAGAUGCAAGCGGGAGAGUGGAGGUAGAGGUUGAGAGGGAGGAGAGAGGGAGAGAGGGUGGCACAAAUCAAACGGCGCCUCAUUAAAUGGGUAAACUAGAUGGAAACAAUGCAUAAAUUAGUUAUCCACACAGUUCAUUUAGAGGUGACAAUGCAUGAGUCGGAUAUGUAAAUUACCUUGACACCCGCGGGAGAGAUAGGGAUUCCCCUUAUACCCAUGCUGGCAAAAGCAACGGUAACCCGGUCCAUCCGCGAAGUCGCCACAGUCAGUGUUGUUGCCACAGGCAUAGCUCGACUUGUUCUUCCUCGCCUGUGCGCAAGUGACGUCCCAUCCGAUCAUCCAGUCCAGAACAAGGUCCGCCCUCUUGCCCAAAUCAUUCGAGGUCGGGAGUCUCCUGCUGGAGAUAUUGAAUAACUCUUUGUCCCCCACGAAGGCCACUCCACAGGGGUUGACUUUCGAGACCGACACGUGUUUGUCGAGGGAGGAGAUUGAAAUGAUAAGCGUCUUGAGCCCCUUCGGAAUGGAUGCUUGACAGCAACCGAGACCAGAGCAAGUGGUCUCCUUCGCCAAGUCGACGUCCUUGAUGCAGUAGGAGAAGCAGCCGCCCCAGAAAGAACUAUUUUUAUCGGUCAUGAGCACGUAGGUGUCACAGCCGAGGACCGUGAGGUUGUUCCGGGUGGC
This 20992-nucleotide long non-coding RNA is filed under the name Eucalyptus grandis. RNAcentral describes it as "long non-coding RNA (EGRA_LNC002131)". Lineage: Eukaryota; Viridiplantae; Streptophyta; Magnoliopsida; Myrtales; Myrtaceae. The record is from RNAcentral.